This is a long non-coding RNA of Prionailurus viverrinus (fishing cat), 364 nucleotides long. RefSeq lists it as uncharacterized. The transcript is spliced from 2 exons. The record is from RefSeq and is a predicted model, not a curated record. NCBI's taxonomy places the organism in Eukaryota, Metazoa, Chordata, Mammalia, Carnivora, Felidae.
GCCGCAGUGCUGAUUUGGCACAUUCCCUGCACUCACAAGUGGUACAGCUGAGUUGUGAACUCAGAGCUGCAGCUGAGGAUUUCUUCCAGCAUAGACGGCUGGAAAAGUUUUGUGUAGCCUCACGGGAACAGAACCAGGAUGAAAGGGAAGAGGAAUUCAAGCUGCAGCAAGGACUCUGAGAAAACUAGGCAGAGACUGAACAGAACAAGCUGAGACAGCAGGCCCAGACCGAGGAGAUCCCGGCUCUGUGUUCUUCACCAGCACAUCAAGUCAAAUGGCUGUCCAAAUCAAAUGGCUAACAACACCCCACCCUCCUGCAAUGAUUACAUUUCAGGGAGGGAAUAAAAAUCUUUCUACUACUUUA